Molecule: ribosomal RNA, 1457 nt
Filed under: uncultured bacterium
Lineage: Bacteria
Description: bacterial SSU rRNA
Rfam family: Bacterial small subunit ribosomal RNA
Source: RNAcentral
AAAUAAACGCUGGCGGCGUGCCUAACACAUGCAAGUCGAACGAGAAAGCCUUAAUCUUCGGAUGGGCGAGUAAAGUGGCGCACGGGUGAGUAACGCGUAGGUAACCUACCCCCGGGACCGGGAUAACAGUGCGAAAGUGCUGCUAAUACCGGAUACGAUUGUGGAGCGGGAGCUUUGCGAUGAAAGUCGGCCUCUCGCAGAAGCCGAUGUUCGGGGAUGGGCCUGCGUCCUAUCAGCUGGUUGGUAGGGUAACGGCCUACCAAGGCGACGACGGGUAGCUGGUCUGAGAGGAUGAUCAGCCACACUGGGCACUGGAACACGGGCCAACUCCUACGGGGAGGCAGCAGUGAAGAAUUUUGCGCAAUGGCCGCAAGGCUGACCCAAGCACCCGCGUGGGUGAAGAAGGCCUUCGGGUCGUAAAGCCCUGUCAGGUGGGAAGAACACCAUGGGGACGAAUAAGCUUCAUGGCUGACGGUACCACCAGAGGAAGCACCGGCUAACUCCGUGCCAGCAGCCGCGGUAAUACGGAGGGUGCGAGCGUUAUUCGGUUAUGGGCGUAAAGCGCGUGCAGGCGGUUUGGCAAGUCUGAUGUGAAAGCCCCGGGCUUAACCUGGGAAGUGCAUUGGAAACUGCCGGACUUGAGUACUGGAGAGGAAGGGGGAAUUCCCGGUGUAGAGGUGAAAUUCGUAGAGAUCGGGAAGGAAUACCAGUGGCGAAGGCGCCCUUCUGGACGGUUACUGACGCUGAGACGCGAAAGCGUGGGAGCAAACAGGAUUAGAUACCCUAGUAGUCCACGCUGUAAACGAUGAGCACUGGUGUAGCGGGUACUCAUUCCUGCUGUGCCGCAGCUAACGCUUAAGUCCGCCUGGGAUACCCAAUAAACUCAGAAUUGGGGGGCCCCCCCCAACCGGUGGAUAUGUGGUUUAUUCGACGCACGCGAAGAACUUACCUGGGCUUGACAUCCCCGGACGCCCCUGGAAACAGGGAGUUCCCCUUCGGGGGACCGGGAGACAGGUGCUGCAUGGCUGUCGCAGCUCGUGUCGUGAGAUGUUGGGUUAAGUCCCGCAACGAGCGCAACCCCUGCCUUUAGUUGCCAUCAUUGAGUUGGCACUCUAAAGGGACUGCCGGUGUGAAACCGGAGGAAGGUGGGGAUGACGUCAAGUCCUCAUGGCCUUUAUGCCCAGGGCUACACACGUACUACAAUGGGCGGUACAAAGGGAAGCGAGCCCGCGAGGAAGGAGCCAACCCCAAAAGCCGUUCACAGUUCGGAUCGGAGUCUGCAACUCGACUCCGUGAAGUUGGAAUCGCUAGUAAUCGCGGAUCAGCAUGCCGCGGUGAAUACGUUCCCGGGCCUUGUACACACCGCCCGUCACACCACGAAAGUCGGCUGUACCAGAAGUGCGUGGGCUAACUUUUCGGAGAGGCAGCGUACCAAGGUGUGGUCGGUAAUUGGGGUG